RNAcentral lists this long non-coding RNA (231 nucleotides) under Elaeis guineensis (African oil palm). Its description in RNAcentral is "long non-coding RNA (EGUI_LNC074366)". The record is from RNAcentral. Lineage: Eukaryota; Viridiplantae; Streptophyta; Magnoliopsida; Arecales; Arecaceae.
GCUUGGCCAAUCUGACCAUUGAUCUGAAAGGCAUAAUAAGAUGGUCAUAUAAUGAAUGAUAAUUUCAAUAUCCAACAGACACCAAGUGUGUGGUACCUCCAAUACCUAUUUAGAAUAUUGGAUGCAUUAUCACGCAUCUUAAUAGGAGGCUAUGAAUUAGUUAUCCCAUAACUGUAUCAUUAAUGAUCUAAUAAUUUAAAAGAUUUGAUUUAAUGAUUGGAGAAUAAGAGA